UUGAACGCUGGCGGAAUGCUUUACACAUGCAAGUCGAGCGGCAGCGCGGGGGCAACCCUGGCGGCGAGCGGCGAACGGGUGAGUAACAUAUCGGAACGUACCCUAUCGUGGGGGAUAACACAUCGAAAGAUGUGCUAAUACCGCAUACGACCUGAGGGUGAAAGCAGGGGAUCGCAAGACCUUGCGCGACAGGAGCGGCCGAUAUCGGAUUAGCUAGUUGGUGAGGUAAAGGCUCACCAAGGCGACGAUCCGUAGCUGGUCUGAGAGGAUGAUCCGCCACACUGGGACUGAGACACGGCCCAGACUCCUACGGGAGGCAGCAGUGGGGAAUUUUGGACAAUGGGCGAAAGCCUGAUCCAGCCAUGCCGCGUGCGGGAAGAAGGCCUUCGGGUUGUAAACCGCUUUCAGCCGGAAAGAAAUCGCCACUUCUAAUACGAGUGGUGGAUGACGGUACCGGAAGAAGAAGCACCGGCUAACUACGU
RNAcentral lists this ribosomal RNA (482 nucleotides) under uncultured bacterium. Its description in RNAcentral is "bacterial SSU rRNA". It matches the Rfam family "Bacterial small subunit ribosomal RNA", at positions 29 to 506 of the family's 1533-position model. The record is from RNAcentral.